GACGAACGCUGGCGGCGUGCUUAACACAUGCAAGUCGAACGGAAAGGCCCUGCUUUUGUGGGGUGCUCGAGUGGCGAACGGGUGAGUAACACGUGAGUAACCUGCCCUUGACUUUGGGAUAACUUCAGGAAACUGGGGCUAAUACCGGAUAGGAGCUCCUGCUGCAUGGUGGGGGUUGGAAAGUUUCGGCGGUUGGGGUUGGAUUGGCGGCUUAUCGGCUUGUUGGUGGGGUAGUGGCUUACCAAGGCUUUGAAGGGUAGCCGGCCUGAGAGGGUGACCGGCCACAUUGGGACGGAGAUACGGCCCAGACUCCUUCGGGAGGCAGCAGUGGGGAAGAUUGCACAAUGGGCGGACGCCUGAUGCAGCAACGCAGCGUGCGGGAUGAAGGCCUUCGGGUUGGAAACAGCUUUCGCCUGUGACGAAGCGUGAGUGACGGUACUGGGUAAAGAAGCCCCGGCUAACUCCGU
This 467-nucleotide ribosomal RNA is filed under the name uncultured bacterium. RNAcentral describes it as "partial 16S ribosomal RNA". It matches the Rfam family "Bacterial small subunit ribosomal RNA", at positions 28 to 506 of the family's 1533-position model. The record is from RNAcentral.